Molecule: ribosomal RNA, 209 nt
Filed under: uncultured bacterium
Lineage: Bacteria
Description: partial 16S ribosomal RNA
Rfam family: Bacterial small subunit ribosomal RNA
Source: RNAcentral
CACUCCGGAAGGAGUGCUAAUACCGCAUGAUGCAGUUGGGUCGCAUGGCUCUGACUGCCAAAGAUUUAUCGCUCUGAGAUGGCCUCGCGUCUGAUUAGCUAGUAGGCGGGGUAACGGCCCACCUAGGCGACGAUCAGUAGCCGGACUGAGAGGUUGACCGGCCACAUUGGGACUGAGACACGGCCCAGACUCCUACGGGAGGCAGCAUG